GGCCCAGACUCCUACGGGAGGCAGCAGUCGGGAAUAUUGCGCAAUGGAGGAAACUCUGACGCAGUGACGCCGCGUGCAGGAAGAAGGUUUUCGGAUUGUAAACUGCUUUAGACAGGGAUGAAAGAAAUGACGGUACCUGUAGAAUAAGCUCCGGCUAACUACGUGCCAGCAGCCGCGGUAAUACGUAGGGAGCAAGCGUUAUCCGGAUUUAUUGGGUGUAAAGGGUGCGUAGACGGGUAUACAAGUUAGUAGUGAAAUCCCUCGGCUUAACUGAGGAACUGCUACUAAAACUAUAUAUCUUGAGUACUGGAGGGGAAAGCGGAAUUCCUAGUGUAGCGGUGAAAUGCGUAGAUAUUAGGAAGAACACCGGUGGCGAAGGCGGCUCUCUGGUCUGCAACUGACGCUGAGGCUCGAAAGCAUGGGUAGCGAACAGGAUUAGAUACCCGAGUA
Molecule: ribosomal RNA, 450 nt
Filed under: uncultured bacterium
Lineage: Bacteria
Description: bacterial SSU rRNA
Rfam family: Bacterial small subunit ribosomal RNA
Source: RNAcentral